AAAGUCCUAGCUUAAUUAAAGCAUCUGGGUUGCAUUCAGAAGAUGCAGGAUAGUAGCCUGCGGAUUUUA
RNAcentral lists this transfer RNA (69 nucleotides) under Daphoenositta chrysoptera (varied sittella). Its description in RNAcentral is "tRNA-Ala". It matches the Rfam family "tRNA". From Rfam's summary of the family: Transfer RNA (tRNA) molecules are approximately 80 nucleotides in length. Their secondary structure includes four short double-helical elements and three loops (D, anti-codon, and T loops). The record is from RNAcentral. Lineage: Eukaryota; Metazoa; Chordata; Aves; Passeriformes.